Non-coding RNA from Ixodes scapularis (black-legged tick), 73 nucleotides. Lineage: Eukaryota; Metazoa; Arthropoda; Arachnida; Ixodida; Ixodidae. The record is from Rfam.
CCCUGGUUAGCUCAGUUGGUAGAGCGCUCCACUGGAAUUGGAGAUGUUCCGGGUUCGAUACUCGGGACAGGCG